CCGCAGCACACGCGUGGGCAUGGUUCUCCACCCCGGGAGACGCCGGGAACGGAGUUUAGUGAUACGGGGGAUACGUGGUGCAGGGCGAUCUGGAGGACUGAGGUCACAUGGUGGUC
Molecule: long non-coding RNA, 116 nt
Organism: Perognathus longimembris pacificus (Pacific pocket mouse)
Lineage: Eukaryota; Metazoa; Chordata; Mammalia; Rodentia; Heteromyidae
Exons: 3
Source: RefSeq, a predicted model, not a curated record